GCAGUCGCCGCGGUAAUACGAAGGGUGCAAGCGUUAAUCGGAAUUACUGGGCGUAAAGCGUGCGUAGGCGGUGAGUUAAGUCUGCUGUGAAAUCCCCGGGCUCAACCUGGGAAUGGCAGUGGAUACUGGCUCGCUAGAGUGUGUCAGAGGAUGGUGGAAUUCCCGGUGUAGCGGUGAAAUGCGUAGAGAUCGGGAGGAACAUCAGUGGCGAAGGCGGCCAUCUGGGACAUCACUGACGCUGAGGCACGAAAGCGUGGGGAGCAAACAGGAUUAGAUACCCGGGUAGUCCCUGUCUCUUAUAC
This 302-nucleotide ribosomal RNA is filed under the name uncultured bacterium. RNAcentral describes it as "partial 16S ribosomal RNA". It matches the Rfam family "Bacterial small subunit ribosomal RNA", at positions 508 to 807 of the family's 1533-position model. The record is from RNAcentral.